AUGUAUCGUCUCUAUUUUCAAUAUCUGAACAUACAAGGAAACUAUAAUCUCUUCUUUCACCUUAUCGGUCUCUUCCUUACAGCAAUUCAGCCAUACCAAUAACUGCUAUUUCCACCAAUAUAUUCACCCUCAUAAUCUCCAACUGUAGUACUGUGCCCUCACAACUUUCAGCACAUAAUUAUCCUCAUUCCAAUCACUGGAAUUCUUCACACAGAACUGCCAUUCACAUUACAAUGUUUCAUACAAACACAAACUUAUUCUCUCUGCUAAACUACAAUCAGAUUUCAGCAUUCAAUCUUUUUUUUUUCAAAUAAUACCAAUCACAUUUCUAUUCCAUAAUUCACUUUACAAUAUUUAGAAACUCUCAAUCUUCUUAUUCAAAGAAAAUAACAAACAAAAGAAAAGAAGUAGCACUAAACUUACCCCGGCUCACAACUAUCACAGCGAUGGUCCUCGGCUCAUGACUAUCAUAGUCUAGUACCUUAAUUAACUUCUACAACUCCUAUAUACUUUCUUCUGAUUCUCCAAAUUCUAACCGUAAGUUUGUAAUCAACCACUUUUAAUAACUAAAUCACUUAUCCAUCCUCCUGAAUUUCCUAUUAUAUGGACUAUUAAUAUAUUUUACCAAUAUCUUUCAAAAACGAAUUAAUAUCUAUUCUACAUAGCUCCACUCCUAUCUAUGCAACAUCCUCGCAAAUACACAAUUGAUACCUAUCUAAAAAUUAUCUAACAAAACUCUACAAAAAUUACGAUCCCUCUGGCCUAUCUAAUUAAUCAAUUGUUGCAUUAUCUAUUACUGGUUCCAUCGAUUCCGGUUUGAACUGCAAAUCUUUGUCCUCCUCCAAUCCUUCCAUCGGCUCCUGCCUCAUAUGAGCUGAAAGGUCUUCAUUAUACUCGCCCAGUUCACGGAGUUGAGCAUCCAGUUUCAAGAUCUAGACAUCCCGAAGUUCCAAUUGUUGUUGCUGUUGACUCAUCCAUUCUGGAAUAUCUUCAAUCGACACUUGUGACCGACUCCUCAUUGUUAACUCUUAUUUAGAACUACUACUCUUAAAAACACAAGAAAUACAAGAAAAUGGCACUCUAGCGAACCCAAAAUAACACCACAAAAUGACUUUAACUGGUGCCCUACUCCUAUUCUUUUACUACUUGGUGAUAAUGACAACAUAUUACCUAUACUAUCCGUGAAAGGUAAUGAAAAGUAAUCUUUCUUGGUGGCCGCAUUUAACUUUCAAAAAUCUUGACAUAUCCUGAUUUUUCCAUUCUUCUUCGGCACUAUCACGAUUGGCCACACCCAUGCACUAUGCGGAACAAGAUAAAUAAAAUCCACAUUAUCGAGGUAGAGAGAAUUUGCCUCAAGAAAACGUUGGGCUUCUAGCUAUCACUAAAUAUUCAAUCAAGCUUGAAAAUAAAGAAAGCCCUAAGUUUAUAUAUAAAUUUUCCCUUUCGAGUAAUUACACCCAAUACACAAUCUUCAAGUAACCCACAACUUCCAAAAUAUGAUAAAAUCUUCUAAAACCUCGUUUAUUCUUAUGUGGAGAUUUUUCCUAACUUCAACACCUCAUAUCUCCUAAUCCGACCGUCCAAAAUAACUCAAAUUUUACAUGAGGUACUGAUGUAUUUUUCUUAACUUCUACAACAAAUUUCAACCGCAAAUUCAUUGCGGAUCUUGAGAUAUCUUGAAAAUCCUAACAAUUGCUUCAAACCCUUAUCUUUAUACAUCCGUGUGUAAUUUUCUUCAUAUCUCACAAAAUAUAAGCUCAAAUACCACGAAAUUUAUAUAUACAGCUUUUUAACAGAAAAAUUUACAUUCUCCAAAAGUUUGAGCCAAAAAUUCAUCCGAAUACUCAAGUUAUGGCUCCAACCAUUACUAGAAACAAAACCGCUUACUUACUGCCUUUGAUUUGGAAGCACCGCCUUCAACUCCUUACAACUCCUUUAUAUAGACUCCAAAAGCAAUAAUUCUAUCAUAAAAGAUGUAGGCCUUGAAAUCGCCGUUCUAGUCGCAAUUUCCGAUCUUCAAAAGCUGCUGUAAAACUACUCGUACUCUCAAAAGAGUAACAGUAUGUCUUAAAUAAACACCUUAACUUCAAACGGCUAAAACUUUUUUACCUUAAUUCCAAAUCUUCUAGUUUUUGUACACAAAUUGUAUCCAAAAUCCUAAACUUUACAACCCUAGCUUCUAAUCUCUGAACACCCUCUUCGAAGUCACCAAAACCCUUCUUAAGGUCGCGGGUAGCCUCCUCAAAGCCCAUUGGGCAUGAUAUUCGACCAAUAGGAAUGAAGUUCUUCAUUCCUUGCCUUCAUCCGACCAUGCCUUGCUUUCAUCCCUCUCAAUUAGCCUCCUACUAGUUUAGAUUUUUAUCCUUAGGCUUCCACCUUCUCCCAAGGCUUCAUACUAAACAUUUAGGUCUUAUCUUUUUUUUAAUGUCAAAAUGAAAAGAAAUAAAGAAACAAAAUAAAAUUUUUUAUACCAACUUCUUUUAAUUUGAUUUACUAGCCACUCUAACACACAUCUAGAUUUAUUAACAUAUAGUACAUUUUAACUAAUUUUUACAUAUUAUAAGCAUUUACAAUACGACAACGUCGAGAAGUUUAUCUAAUUUUUCUUUCACUAAAAGGGAAUAUUUUGGAUUAAGCCGGUGUUGUCUUUGACGAACUAGCGUAAUACCGUCCUCCAAAAUAAUCUGGUGCUCACACACGUCCAUUGGAAUCCCUUUCAUAUCCGCAUAUGACCACACAAAGGAAGAUUUGUGACAAACAAAAAACUGUUUUCAAGCAUCCAAUUUUGUACCGAUAAUACCGGCAUAUAUUUUAAUUAGCUGUGGCAUUUUGUUGGUGCCCAGGUUAAUAGAUUGACACAUAGGGUCUUUAAGAACCUCUGAUUUAAUAGUCUUCUCCUGAUCUAAAUAUCUUGUAUUAUCCGACAUAUGUGAACCACCCAAAUCUGGUUCCAAUGUGCUGACUCUGUUGACUGCGGGAUUGUUCAUCCAUUUGAUAAUAGCAUGAUCCGAGUUAGUCGUAUCCUCUUAAUGUAGUAAAUAUUCACUAGGACCUCUACAUUGGUAGAUUCCUGCCUUUGUUGUUGAAGUAUUUUAUCCUAUCCCAAAUUGCGGUGAACCUAAAGCAUCGGCAUCUUCCUCAAUCGAUUGACUUUUGUUGUCCAAUGUAAAUUCUGAUUCUGGCAAUUGAAAUUCUCCAUGAUAUUGUAUCGGAUACAUCUGUAGAACAAUCUGGUCCCGGCCUUUUCCAAUUGUCAAUGUGCCUCGACCCCAAUCGUUCUUAGCUUUGGCUUGAUAAAGCCAAGGUCUGCCCAAUAAAAUGGGAUACGAUAACAUAGAAUUCUGUAAUCGAAAUACAAUAUAAUCGAUUUUGUAUGUCAAUAUUGCGAUUACAAUAGCAAUAUUUUGUAAGAUUCUCAUUGGCUUUACCCGACUAUGAUCUGCCAUUCGCAAGACCAAUAUCGUAGGUAGCAAUUACUUUAGAUUCAAGUCCUCCAUUGUAUCCACGUUCAUUAAAUUCACAUUGGAGCCACCAUCGACUUGUACCCGUGGAAUUAAAAUGCCAUCGAUUCAUACAUCGAUUGUUGGUGCUCCCGGAUCUGGGUUUAAGCUAAUUUCAUGAAUUUCUUUAGUGCGGAUCUUCAUCAUAUUAGCGGUGAAUUCAAUGUAAAUCGACAUUUUGAUGCUAUAGCCAAAAGUUGCUUCAUUAUAAUUGAAGGCUGAAUAACAUCCAAAUCCUUCAGAAUGUCAUAAGAUUCCAUAUUGAGAGUAAUUUCCAAUGCUCUUUUGCAUUUCAUUAGUUUCGAUUUUACUUCGAUUGGUAGCAAUUCUAUCAUGGCGAUUGGAAUUGUCGCUGGUAACUUUGCCAACUUUUCUACUACUAAAGGUUCCUUUAAUGCGUAAGAUCUUUUAUUGGGCUACAGAGGUAUUGGUACAUGGUCAGUUGGGAUCGAUCUUGAUGGUCCCGAUGAAUUGGCACGUUAUCGUAUGGCGUGAUUUGCUAUCUAGAAAUACACUGGAUAUCUAGCUGUAGAGAGUGUACCUUAAACCUUUACAUGAUUCUUUUCUUGGCUUCCAAAACUCCUUUAUUUUGGUAUAAAACUCCAAAUAUAACAAAAUCCCUUCAAAACAUAUUUUUCCCACGAAGGGUUUUUUCGCCUCAAAUUUUAGAAAAUCAUAACUAUUGAUCUAACCGUUCAGUUUGUUUCAAAUUUAUAAGAUAGGUAGAAUUUACCCUUGACUUGCACCACAAAAAAAAACAACCGCAAAUUCACUCCCGAUCUUUUGGCAUCUAAGAAACCCUAGCAGAUACUCCAAACCCUAAUUUACAAGCACCCGAAAACUAUUUUCCUUAUAUCUCAAAAACCCGAACUCCAAAUGUCAUAAAACUUAUGCAUAAAGUUUAUGAACAUGAAAUUACACAUUCCUUGAAAUUUUGAGCCAAAACCUCACAAAAUUGCUCAAUAUAUAGCUCAAGAGACAAACACUAGUAAAUCGGUUUACUUACUACCCUUAGAUUGCAUGUGCUGACUUCAAAAUCCAAUAACUCCUUUAUCCCAACUUGGAAUCCAGUAAGCAAUAUGUGAAAAGUAUAGCCGCAAAAGUGCUCUAUCUAGUCGCGGUCGCCGAUCCUCAAUUGCCAUCUGUACACGUGCGUUAUGCCCAAAAGAGUGAUAGCAGGUCCAAAACUAACACCUUAACUUUGAGCGCCUAUAACUUCUUCAUAAAAACCCCAAAUGACACAAAACUUGCACCAAAAGUUUAACCAAAAAUCUAAACCUUCUGACCUUAGCCUUCAAAGUUCAAAUGGCCUCGAGAAACUAACCCUAAUCCCUAAUAUGGCGUCGGGCAGCCUCCUCAAAGCCCAUUGGUCAUGAUUUUUGACCAAUAGGAAUGGAGAUUUUUAUUUUUCAUCUCCAUUCAUCUAUAUUGGUGCCCUAAUUACUCCCUUUGCUACCAAAAUCCUUCUUCAAUCCUUUUUCUUAUAAGAUUUACAUAAUGUAUGCUCUAAACACCAAAUAAAAGAACCAAAAUAAGUUUUCAAAUGUCACCAAUGUCUAACAAAGGUGACUCUAAAUAUUUAGAAGUUACUAUCAACCAAAACCAAUCUUAAAAGCCACUAUCAAAAAGAAAUUAAAGUUAUACAAACUCUAUAGUAAUCUUUUUAAACAACCUCUUUUAAAAGUAAUAAUCAAAUUAUAUUCUACAACCAACUAAAAUCUACUAACAUGGCUCUCACCAUGUUACUUAAUAAAUUAUAUAUUAAGUACAUAAUUACAUUAUUUUCAUAUAGUAGCCGAACCACAACACGAUAACGUGGAACCGAAUUGGAGUCCUUAGUUUGUUGAUGUCUCAAUAUUGGGAUACAUCCUAAUAUUGGUAUUGGUUCGUUUAGCCCCGCGGAUGACGCUACUUGCUCUCUUGCGAUUGGUUCAUCCAGGUCCUGAAUGGGAUUCUUGUCUUUUUGUUGGCCUUUGAUAAACACUGUGUUCACCAGCUCGACACGAUGUAAUAGUGAGUCUUGUUGAACAAGGCCUUUGUCCUCCAUUUGUUGGCUUAUUUGUAUUUGCUAUUCUUGGUUAUUAUAAUUAAAGGAUGCAUUGCACUAUUGAUAAGUGUGACCAAAUUGCUUACAAUUUCUACAUAUUGGAGCAUAGUCAUCACUGGCGUUUGGAUUAGGACAUUCAUUGACAUAAUGACCAAUUUGUCUGCAAUGGAAACAACGAAGUGGUCUCCUGCCAACUCCUUCAGGGAUAAUGGGUGUCUCUACUGGUAUAUAACGGCUAGGUGUGUUCCAUAUCGGAUGAGUAAAGGAUCCUGAUUGAUCCAUUGUUACUGUAGACUCUGGAAUUGGCUUCAUCAUGGGUAGAUAUUGAUGGUAUCUUGGUUGGUUCAUCGCCAAUCCGUGAGUAUUGGAUACACCUUCUUUGUGAAAUUCAGAGUUUAAAAAAUUGGAAUAAUUCUUGUUUUAUUUAUUCGCUCGAUUUCCAUUCUAGCCAAACCUAUUAUUCAUUUGUACUUGAUUGAUGUCCCACUGGGUUGGUGGAAUCAUGGUCUGAUUACUAAAUUGUUGUUGUUGUCUUUGCCAAUUCCAAUAAUUUGCUGUUAGGUACUUUCCUCCGUAAAAUGUACAUUGACUCAUUAUUUGUGAGGGUAAGGGGCAUUCUGUUACAAAAUGACCGUGGCCCUUAUAAUUACUGUACUAUACAUUAGUCCUAGUAUUGGUAGGCUUUUGCCUCUUCUCCUUAUCUUUGGCCAUAUUGAUGGCCAUUUCUUCCAUUUUCUUUGUCAAAUUCAAUAACAAGGUUUCAUUGGAAUCUUUUAGGGGUGGCAUUAUUGGUAUUUCUGUCAUAGUUAACGCUUGUUAUUGAUAUGGAAAAUAUGGAGCAUACGUUGUUGUCACGUUCGGUGGUAUAGCUUGUAAUGGGGUGACAUUAACUGGCCCCUGAAUAUUGGUAUUGGAAUUGGCCCCUGUUUCUAACAUCCGUGGAUAACUAUCCACUGAUUCAUUUCAAGUUGAAUUUUAAUAUCUAUCUUAAACUGGAAUCAUCUUGGCUCCCGCAGUUAAAAAGUGAUCAAAAUGGCAUUCCUUUCAAAUCUUGGAUCUAUUAAAAGAUACAGCCAAUGUAAUGAUUUGAGCUUCCUUUACAAACAUUUUUAGCUCUGGUGGGUGCAAACUAUUGAUUAAUAUGGAUAAGAUAAAUGCCUUCGGUAUUUGGUGAUUCGACCACUUACUAAGUAUAUCAGCCAUUCGGCCAUAGUAUGAUUUGACUACCUCCCUUAGGAUCAUUUUGCUGUUCAUUAACCUCUCUCAAAGGCGGUCCUCAAAACCAAUUGACCAAAAAUGAGAUAAAAAUACAUUCUUCAAUGCUUCCCAAUUCAAAAAUUGAUCCACUGGUUGGCAGUUAUACCAUUCAAAUGCCGUAUCUUUUAAGGUUGGUGGCAGCCAUCGCAACCAAAUAUCUUCAGUUCUACUAUUAUUAGCUACACAUGUUAUAAGAAACUGAGACAAAUGUUGAUCGGGAUCCACACCCAAAAAUCCUUGAAAAGUAGGUAGUGGUGUGACACUAGUGAUACAAUCGCCUAAUGUAUCCAUUUGUACUGCAAUCAGAAUGGCUGGUCCUCUUAACGCCAUUGAAUUUCUUGUUCUGCUAAACUCUGUUUUAAAAUAAUCUCUGUUUUUUUUUAUUCUAAUUUUUGAGCUCUCAAUGCUCCUCGAUUUACUGUUAUUUUUUUUAAUUAUUUUUAUUGGUUGAAUUACAGGUGAAAACGUCGGAUUUUAAAAUACAAUAUAAUUAUCUUUAUUGAUGACCAAUUUGUGCCAAUUUGAAGAGCCACUAUUGCUUGUUUCAGCGGUACCUCCUACUGGAAAAAUAUCCAAUGGAGUACCAAAUUCUUCUAUGCCUCUUUUUCUUUCAGUUAAUGGCCUCAAGAUUUCCAUUGGAAUGUUAACAAAAUUUCUCGCGAAUGUUUUUGGCAGUUUUUCUAAUGGUACAUACGACUGCAGAAUUAAGAGUCUGUCUAGUUCUUGAUAUGUUCGGAUGUGUCGACAAGCUUGCAACCAUGUUUUAAUCCAAUUUUGUCAAUGCUUCUUUUUAUGAUUACGUUCUUGCUCCUUUCUAAGCAAGUUCCUUCCUUGCGCUCUUCCUUGUCUUUCUCUCAACUGAUUUAUUUUCUUCGAUGCAUUGCUCUCGUUCUUAUUAACCAUAAUCUUACUUCAAACACUACUAAAAUCAUCCUCCAUUGCCAAUUUUCUCACACGUUUGAAAAUUAAUUCCUAACACUCAAAGCUAUUAUCACUCCCCGGUAGUGGCGCCAAAAUGUGAUUGCUUGUUUUACUUAUUUCGAAAGAAAUCUCCAAGAAUAAACUCGUAUAGGAGAAUUCGAACACAAAGAAUGACUAAUUACUUAAGCAUUCACGUUAGGGUCACAUAAUCAAUUACCUCCUGAAUGUAUCGUCUCUAUUUUUAAUAUCUGAACAUACAAGGAAAGUAUAAUCUCUUCUUUCACCUUAUCGGUCUCUUCCUUACAGCAAUUCAGCCAUACCAAUAAUUGCUAUUUCCACCAAUAUAUUCACCCGCAUAAUCUCCAACUGUAAUACUGUGCCCUCACAACUUUCAGCACAUAAUUACCCUCAUUCCAAUCACUGGAAUUCUUCACACAGAACUGCCAUUCACAUUACAAUGUUUCAUACAAACACAGACUUAUUCUCUCUGCUAAACUACAAUCAGAUUUCAGCAUUCAAUCUUUUUUUUUUUCAAAUAAUACCAAUCACAUUUCUAUUCCAUAAUUCACUUUACAAUAUUUAGAAACUCUCAAUCCUCUUAUUCAAAGAAAAUAACAAACAAAAGAAAAGAAGUAGCACUAAGCUUACCCCGGCUCACAACU
RNAcentral lists this long non-coding RNA (8387 nucleotides) under Physcomitrium patens. RNAcentral's name for it is "long non-coding RNA (PPAT_LNC001949)". Lineage: Eukaryota; Viridiplantae; Streptophyta; Bryopsida; Funariales; Funariaceae. The record is from RNAcentral.